GUGAUUUCUGCCCAGUGCUCUGA
RNAcentral lists this non-coding RNA (23 nucleotides) under Arabidopsis thaliana (thale cress). Lineage: Eukaryota; Viridiplantae; Streptophyta; Magnoliopsida; Brassicales; Brassicaceae. The record is from RNAcentral. RNAcentral also lists the same sequence under 5 other names.